AGCGAACGCUGGCGGCAGGCUUAACACAUGCAAGUCGAGCGGGCCCUUCGGGGUCAGCGGCAGACGGGUGAGUAACGCGUGGGAACGUGCCCUUCGGUUCGGAAUAACUCAGGGAAACUUGAGCUAAUACCGGAUACGCCCUUAUGGGGAAAGGCUUGCUGCCGAAGGAUCGGCCCGCGUCUGAUUAGCUAGUUGGUGAGGUUAUGGCUCACCAAGGCGACGAUCAGUAGCUGGUCUGAGAGGAUGAUCAGCCACACUGGGACUGAGACACGGCCCAGACUCCUACGGGAGGGAGCAGUGGGGAAUAUUGGACAAUGGGGGCAACCCUGAUCCAGCCAUGCCGCGUGAGUGAUGACGGCCUUAGGGUUGUAAAGCUCUUUUCUCCGGGACGAUAAUGACGGUACCGGAGGAAUAAGCCCCGGCUAACUUCGUG
Molecule: ribosomal RNA, 433 nt
Filed under: uncultured bacterium
Lineage: Bacteria
Description: partial 16S ribosomal RNA
Rfam family: Bacterial small subunit ribosomal RNA
Source: RNAcentral